Molecule: ribosomal RNA, 710 nt
Filed under: uncultured bacterium
Lineage: Bacteria
Description: bacterial SSU rRNA
Rfam family: Bacterial small subunit ribosomal RNA
Source: RNAcentral
GGCUGAGUAACACGUGGAGAACCUGCCCCCUCCCCCGGGAUAGCCGCCCGAAAGGACGGGUAAUACCGGAUACCCCGGGGUGCCGCAUGGCACCCCGGCUAAAGCCCCGACGGGAGGGGAUGGCUCCGCGGCCCAUCAGGUAGACGGCGGGGUGACGGCCCACCGUGCCGACAACGGGUAGCCGGGUUGAGAGACCGACCGGCCAGAUUGGGACUGAGACACGGCCCAGACUCCUACGGGAGGCAGCAGUGGGGAAUCUUGCGCAAUGGGGGGAACCCCGACGCAGCGACGCCGCGUGCGGGACGGAGGCCUUCGGGUCGUAAACCGCUUUCAGCAGGGAAGAGUCAAGACUGUACCUGCAGAAGAAGCCCCGGCUAACUACGUGCCAGCAGCCGCGGUAAUACGUAGGGGGCGAGCGUUAUCCGGAUUCAUUGGGCGUAAAGCGCGCGUAGGCGGCCCGGCAGGCCGGGGGUCGAAGCGGGGGGCUCAACCCCCCGAAGCCCCCGGAACCUCCGCGGCUUGGGUCCGGUAGGGGAGGGUGGAACACCCGGUGUAGCGGUGGGAUGCGCAGAUAUCGGGUGGAACACCGGUGGCGAAGGCGGCCCUCUGGGCCGAGACCGACGCUGAGGCGCGAAAGCUGGGGGAGCGAACAGGAUUAGAUACCCUGGUAGUCCCAGCCGUAAACGAUGGACGCUAGGUGUGGGGGGACG